UACGUAGGGCGCAAGCGUUAUCCGGAAUUAUUGGGCGUAAAGAGCUCGUAGGCGGUCUGUUACGUCUGCUGUGAAAACCCGAGGCUCAACCUCGGGCCUGCAGUGGGUACGGGCAGACUAGAGUGCGGUAGGGGAGAUUGGAAUUCCUGGUGUAGCGGUGGAAUGCGCAGAUAUCAGGAGGAACACCAAUGGCGAAGGCAGAUCUCUGGGCCGUAACUGACGCUGAGGAGCGAAAGCAUGGGGAGCGAACAGG
RNAcentral lists this ribosomal RNA (253 nucleotides) under uncultured bacterium. Its description in RNAcentral is "partial 16S ribosomal RNA". It matches the Rfam family "Bacterial small subunit ribosomal RNA", at positions 524 to 776 of the family's 1533-position model. The record is from RNAcentral.